Lycium barbarum (goji berry) is the source of this 466-nucleotide long non-coding RNA. RefSeq lists it as uncharacterized. Lineage: Eukaryota; Viridiplantae; Streptophyta; Magnoliopsida; Solanales; Solanaceae. The record is from RefSeq and is a predicted model, not a curated record. The transcript has 3 exons.
CUCAUUUCACUCUCUCUCCUCACCGUUUUUUUUCUCUCUCUCUCUACUCAAUUUUAGCCAUCGCCCAUCGUCCGCCAUCCCUAGCCCAUUCUCCGCCGUUGCCACCUACUGUCCAACCGAAAAUACAACAUUUGAGAAGACAGGGAAGGGGAAGAGGCCAGGAAAAGGAGGCAAUUGAUGCUAAGAGUAUUGGCUUAGGUUUUAAAACUCCUCGUGAGGCUACUGAAGGUUUUGGCUUUUGGUAAUUCUUGGGUACAUAAUAUGAACAAGGGAAAACCUUGAUCUUCUGUGUAUUGAAAAUGAAGAAGAUCAUCUCCUUAUAAGGUUACAAAGAAACCUAUACAUGGUAAAUACAAUUUGUUCAAAAUCAUAUGCAGGUUUUGGCUUUUGUUAAUUCUUGGGUACAUAAUAUGAACAUUGGAAAAACCUUGAUUUUCUGUGUAUUGAAAAUGAAGGCGAUCAUCUC